RNAcentral lists this ribosomal RNA (300 nucleotides) under uncultured bacterium. RNAcentral's name for it is "bacterial SSU rRNA". It matches the Rfam family "Bacterial small subunit ribosomal RNA", at positions 399 to 691 of the family's 1533-position model. The record is from RNAcentral.
GCGUGUGUGAAGAAGGCCUGCGGGUUGUAAAGCACUUUCAGUAGGGAAGAAAAGCCUGGUGCUAAUACCACCGGGUCUUGACGUUACCUACAGAAGAAGCACCGGCUAACUCCGUGCCAGCAGCCGCGGUAAUACGGAGGGUGCAAGCGUUAAUCGGAAUUACUGGGCGUAAAGCGCGCGUAGGCGGCUUGUUAAGUCAGAUGUGAAAGCCCCGGGCUCAACUUGGGAAUUGCAUUUGAUACUGGCAGGCUAGAGUGUGGUAGAGGGAAGUGGAAUUCCGGGUGUAGCGGUGAAAUGCGU